Long non-coding RNA from Calypte anna (Anna's hummingbird), 439 nucleotides. RefSeq lists it as uncharacterized. NCBI's taxonomy places the organism in Eukaryota, Metazoa, Chordata, Aves, Apodiformes, Trochilidae. The transcript has 3 exons. The record is from RefSeq and is a predicted model, not a curated record.
GGCCGGGAGCGGCGGGGCCGGGUGCACGGAGCGGGGACUCACCCGGCCGGGCUGCCGUCGUUACAGGUACCAAGCCGGACAGCUCACUCCUCCUGACAGCCCUCGAGAAAGGAGCAGGGAAACUGCCUUUACUGGGAAAUGUAGUCUGUCUGGGAUCAGAAAAGGUUGGACUCAGUAUAGAAGGAGGCUCAGGGAAAGCUGUGUAAGAACUGGACUCCUGCUCAAGGCACUGAAGAUUGAUGUUUCCCUCUCACAAACCAAGAGGAUUACACCUUGAGCCCUGUGCAAGGAUUUGUGCUGCAGGUAUAAUUUCGCCUUCACAGCCAGCUCUCACCCCUGAUGUAAGCACCUCUGUCUCAGUUGAAAUUCCCAAGGUCAUUUCUUGGGUCUUGUGCUGAUCAAAUGGGCAUAUGCAUGGUGGAAGUUACCCCACAGAUGA